RNAcentral lists this long non-coding RNA (1162 nucleotides) under Zea mays. RNAcentral's name for it is "long non-coding RNA (ZMAY_LNC004245)". Lineage: Eukaryota; Viridiplantae; Streptophyta; Magnoliopsida; Poales; Poaceae. The record is from RNAcentral.
UGUUAUUAUUGCAUAGUAAAUAUUUAUACGAGACUAACGCAACUGGAACGAGUCAAUUCGGAAUUAAAACGAAGGAGUUAUGAUUUUCUGAAGAUUCUAUGUGUUUUGUACAAGAUUAAAUAGGACAUAAAUUUUUAAUGUGACUAUCAUGUCAAAUCAGUGGCACUAAUUGAUAAACAAUAAUCUUACAAAAUUAUAGGAACUGAAAUAGACUCAUUUGGAUUUAAUAUGAAUUUUCUAUAGAUUUAACAAGAUUUUGGAAUCGUUUUUAUAGAAGAAAUUCAUUUUAUAAAUCAAUUUCUCUGAUUUUCCAUUUCCCUAGACCGCGCCUCAAAUAUCAGAGAAUACAGGGUCUAGGAUGCAAAACAUCUAAGACUCAGUGAAUAGAAUCCCUGGACUGCGGGUUGGUUCCCGUUUUGCGCGGGGCCUCUUUAGCAAAUGUGCUAGCCGAAGGGGUAUGGAGAAUCCCCAUCCGUCCGAUCCCUAAUAGACGCGUUAGAUUAUCUUCAAUUAAAUCCGAACCGUUAUUCUAUACGCGCCCUUAGAUCUGGAUAUUACGGUUCACGGCCGAUCCGCGGGUUGGAUCGCACGACCGGAUCCAACCGUUUGUUCCCAACGGACGGUCCCGAUUCAAAGAAAUCCGCUCGCCGGCCAACUCUAAUCCCGAUCGUCCAAACAGGAUCCAACGAUCCAGGCCUCGUCACCUACCUUCCGCUGAGAACACGCCUAGUGAGCCCUGGCCGCGACGCCCUCGACGGCAGUCAAGGAUCCGCCUCCCUGGCGAGCAGGCGACCAACAGAGAAGGCUAUGGAUUGGAGCGGGGAUAAUUCUUACGCAUCACACAAACAAUGGCGAACUGCAGAGAUGCCCUCACCGCGAUUGGAGGCGACCGCGCGACAUCGUUUCUUCGAGGCGAGGUGCCGGUGCUCUAGCUUGAUGUCGCUGAGAACGCCGCCCGCCACGCGUGUUAUGAACCCAGACGCACUCCACCCUGGUGCACCAAGAUCGCACACUCGUACCUCCUCGACAAUGGUCCACCCUAAUGUUUCCACCGACUGCUUCCUGGCCAAUCCCGAUCUGUGGUCGACGCUAGCAGAGCGUAAUGGGAGGCGAAGGAAGGAGCUAGGUCAGACGGCUACUUAUUGGUGGAGAGUUUUUUUCC